This 168-nucleotide ribosomal RNA is filed under the name Exidiaceae sp. RNAcentral's name for it is "partial large subunit ribosomal RNA". It matches the Rfam family "Eukaryotic large subunit ribosomal RNA", at positions 100 to 261 of the family's 3401-position model. Lineage: Eukaryota; Fungi; Basidiomycota; Agaricomycetes; Auriculariales; Exidiaceae. The record is from RNAcentral.
GGGAAGAGCUCAAAUUUGAAAUCUGGCGGUCUCAGGCCGUCCGAGUUGUAAUCUAGAGAAGUGUUUUCCGUGCCGGACCGUGUACAAGUCCCUUGGAACAGGGCGUCAUAGAGGGUGAGAAUCCCGUCCAUGACACGGACUCCCGGUGCUCUGUGAUACACUUUCAAA